GGAAGAUCCACUAAAAGAAGACUUGACUCUUCAUCAAAAGUAUCAUUAAGCAAUGAGAACUUGAAAAUGGAAGCUUUCCGAUGUGUAUGGUCAAAAAUCGAAUCCAAGAUUAAGGAUGUCUUGAGGAGUAUAAAUGCCGGCGUGUUUGAUGAGAUAGGACAAUGGGUUCGUGAAUCUUUUAAUGAAAUUUGUUCGUGCAGAGGGCCUGUUGAUCCAUCAAAGUCAAGUCUUCCAUACCCUUUUGUCCAUAAUGGUGGUUUAGUUAAAAAGCUCUUCACUGGUCUGGUCUUCACCAAGAAUAUUGAAAC
Molecule: unclassified non-coding RNA, 308 nt
Filed under: Hevea brasiliensis (rubber tree)
Lineage: Eukaryota; Viridiplantae; Streptophyta; Magnoliopsida; Malpighiales; Euphorbiaceae
Source: RNAcentral